This 484-nucleotide ribosomal RNA is filed under the name uncultured bacterium. RNAcentral's name for it is "partial 16S ribosomal RNA". It matches the Rfam family "Bacterial small subunit ribosomal RNA", at positions 30 to 507 of the family's 1533-position model. The record is from RNAcentral.
AUUGAACGCUGGCGGCAGGCCUAACACAUGCAAGUCGAGCGGAUGAAAGGAGCUUGCUCCUGGAUUCAGCGGCGGACGGGUGAGUAAUGCCUAGGAAUCUGCCUGGUAGUGGGGGAUAACGUCCGGAAACGGGCGCUAAUACCGCAUACGUCCUGAGGGAGAAAGUGGGGGAUCUUCGGACCUCACGCUAUCAGAUGAGCCUAGGUCGGAUUAGCUAGUUGGUGGGGUAAAGGCCUACCAAGGCGACGAUUCGUAACUGGUCUGAGAGGAUGAUCAGUCACACUGGAACUGAGACACGGUCCAGACUCCUACGGGAGGCAGCAGUGGGGAAUAUUGGACAAUGGGCGAAAGCCUGAUCCAGCCAUGCCGCGUGUGUGAAGAAGGUCUUCGGAUUGUAAAGCACUUUAAGUUGGGAGGAAGGGCAGUAAGUUAAUACCUUGCUGUUUUGACGUUACCAACAGAAUAAGCACCGGCUAACUUCGUG